UACCAGCACCCCGAGUGGUCGGGACGAUUAUUGGGCCUAAAGCAUCCGUAGCCGGUUCUGCAAGUCUUCCGUUAAAUCCACCUGCUUAACAGAUGGGCCGCGGAAGAUACUAUAGAGCUAGGAGGCGGGAGAGGCAAGCGGUACUCGAUGGGUAGGGGUAAAAUCCGUUGAUCCAUUGAAGACCACCAGUGGCGAAGGCGGCUCACUGGCCCGGUACUGACGCUGAGGUGCGAAAGCGUGGGGAGCAAACAGG
This 253-nucleotide ribosomal RNA is filed under the name uncultured bacterium. RNAcentral describes it as "partial 16S ribosomal RNA". It matches the Rfam family "Archaeal small subunit ribosomal RNA", at positions 474 to 727 of the family's 1478-position model. The record is from RNAcentral.